Molecule: long non-coding RNA, 475 nt
Organism: Xiphophorus couchianus (Monterrey platyfish)
Lineage: Eukaryota; Metazoa; Chordata; Actinopteri; Cyprinodontiformes; Poeciliidae
Exons: 2
Source: RefSeq, a predicted model, not a curated record
UGUGUAUAAAUCUAUGGCAUUCUAAUUGACUCAUAGUAUACUUUGGCGUUGAAAAUGACUCAUAGUAUGCUAUGGCACUCAAACGCGCAACCUUCAACAAUCUGUAAUUUAGUUCAAAUACCACAACAGUCGUCACUAACUAGUUGAUUUGUGAUGUUUCAGCCACAGGAAAUGAAGGGAACACCGCCCCCUGGACCACAGAGGAGCAGAAACUUCUAGAACAAGCUCUGAAGACCUACCCUGUGAGCACACCUGAGCGCUGGGAGAAGAUUGCUGUUGCUGUUCCUGGACGAAGCAAGAAGGACUGUAUGAAGAGGUACAAGGAACUGGUGGAGAUGGUCAAAGCCAAGAAAGCUGCUCAGGAACAAGUGGCAGCCAAGAAUAAAAAAUGACACCAACCACAAAGGAGGAUAGAAUCUUUGUUAUUUUAAUGUUAUUGUGUUAUCCUUUAUUUUAUAAUAAAAAAAAAACUUGA